Long non-coding RNA from Protopterus annectens (West African lungfish), 248 nucleotides. RefSeq lists it as uncharacterized. Lineage: Eukaryota; Metazoa; Chordata; Ceratodontiformes; Protopteridae. The transcript has 2 exons. The record is from RefSeq and is a predicted model, not a curated record.
UACAGUGUGGAUCAUGCAUCUUUUUUGUACCUGUUUCUCUUGACUGCCUUUGUCCUGUUUAUAAAUGGGAUCUGCAAAAUGCCACAAAGUGAUGCAGAUGAGCAUUGCACAAGACCCAUCGAAUGGACCGACCUAACAAAAGAAACUGAUGGUGAAGUAACUUGCCAAGGAUCAUAUCAUAUAACAUUUCAGUUUUUGGAUUGCAUUUUAGUUUCACUGCAAGGUAUAUUAAAUUUAACUAAUUAGUA